RNAcentral lists this ribosomal RNA (245 nucleotides) under uncultured Lachnospiraceae bacterium. RNAcentral describes it as "partial 16S ribosomal RNA". It matches the Rfam family "Bacterial small subunit ribosomal RNA", at positions 524 to 768 of the family's 1533-position model. The record is from RNAcentral. Lineage: Bacteria; Bacillati; Bacillota; Clostridia; Lachnospirales; Lachnospiraceae.
UACGUAGGGGGCAAGCGUUAUCCGGAUUUACUGGGUGUAAAGGGAGCGUAGACGGCGAGGCAAGUCUGAAGUGAAAACCCGAGGCUUAACCACGGGACUGCUUUGGAAACUGUCAUGCUAGAGUGCAGGAGGGGUGAGUGGAAUUCCUAGUGUAGCGGUGAAAUGCAUAGAUAUUAGGAGGAACACCGGUGGCGAAGGCGGCUCACUGGACUGUAACUGACGUUGAGGCUCGAAAGCGUGGGGAG